This 388-nucleotide long non-coding RNA is filed under the name Zonotrichia albicollis (white-throated sparrow). RNAcentral's name for it is "lncRNA (ENSZALG00000016660.1)". Lineage: Eukaryota; Metazoa; Chordata; Aves; Passeriformes; Passerellidae. The record is from RNAcentral.
AUGCCCAGACAGACAGAAGUGGUCCACGCUCCACCAGUGUCCUUCAGCACAAGGAUACGCUGCAGUGGUGAUGACACAGGGUCCUCGUGUUCCACCAAUCCAAAUGCCAUGUCUGAAUGCAAUUGGUGGUGCUGCACCUGGAAAAUAUUACCGUGUCCCUUACUGGGCAGUACGAAUGCAUUUUUGCUACCUACCCAUAUGGAACAAAGGCUGCAAAAAUUCAACUUACUGUCAAGGCAGAAGGAUGAAGAUGGGUGGGAAGAGGAACUUGUGACCAAGGAGCCCUCCUGUCCUGCUGUGUACAGGAACAGCAGCAUGCUCUUACCCUGAGAUCUUCAUUAGCUUGGAGGAGAGCUCAGCCAGCACCUCGCAGAAGACUUCAGAAAUU